This 985-nucleotide long non-coding RNA is filed under the name Fragaria vesca (wild strawberry). Its description in RNAcentral is "long non-coding RNA (FVES_LNC004314)". Lineage: Eukaryota; Viridiplantae; Streptophyta; Magnoliopsida; Rosales; Rosaceae. The record is from RNAcentral.
UUCCUCUCCCCGAGCCUCCCGCUGCCCGGUUUUCCGGCCGUCCUCCCCGCCGCCGUCCGGCCACCAACCGCCGCCGCACCGGUCCCGUUCGGUCGACCUCCAACCCAGCAACCUCCCUGGACCGGUGAGAGGAGCCCUAGCUCCGCCGUGAGAGAGCGGUGCCACCCGAAAGGUCCGACUGUCCAAAGCUUCACUUCGCCGGAACUUCCUCCUCCGGCCACCAAUCCGGGCAAGCUUGGUACGGUUUUGUAGCCCUCCUCCCGUGCAACAACCCCUCCAAGCAGCUCCCUCCCUCUUGAGCUAGGUAAGGAGAAAUUUGAGGUGGAAGUUUUAUGGUGUUUAAGUUGUUUUCGUUCGAUUAGCCUAGUUAGGCUUGGAAUUGGUGUUUGUGCUAGUUAUGAAAGUUGUAGAGCUUGAUGAGAGGAAGAUGCUGUUAAAAUUUCAUAGAUUUUGGAGGUCGCCGGAAUUGACCUCCGGCCGCUGCUGCCGGCGGAACCGCCGGCGGCGCCGCCGCCGGUUAGGAGAUUUUUAUGGUUUUUGAUAUAGAAUAUUAAGGGGAUAUUAUUGAAGUGAAUUAUGGAAUUUUUGGAUGAGAUUUGGAUAGGUUUGUGAAUUUCCGAAGUUUGGUAUUUUUGGCGGUUAAUUAAUGUAGAAUCCGGCCGUAGGAUUUAAGUCGUAUUUUGGGGAGGUUGUAUUUACGACUGUUGAGUAUGAUAUUUAAGUUCGGAUUGUUCCGAUGUAAGAAUAUCGAAGUUAGGCAAUGAUGAGCGUAAUAAUGGCUCUCGGGUAAUUUUGCCUAUUUUGAUUAAAUAUUGGAUAUUGGUUGGGAAUUAAUAUUAUAUUUGAAACAGGACGUGAGGAGGCUCGAGCAGACGAGACCCCAGAUCGACAUCAGGCUUAGGCCUAAUUUGUGAGUGGACUUUUAUUUGAAAUAAUAUGCAUGCUAUGGUUCAUGAUUGAACAUUUCCUUUUGUUUGGAGUUUUU